RNAcentral lists this long non-coding RNA (253 nucleotides) under Manihot esculenta (cassava). Its description in RNAcentral is "long non-coding RNA (MESC_LNC004669)". The record is from RNAcentral. Lineage: Eukaryota; Viridiplantae; Streptophyta; Magnoliopsida; Malpighiales; Euphorbiaceae.
UCUACUGACAUACUCAUGCCCAAACUACUAUCUCUUCUCUGGUUAUCCUCCUCUGUUUCCAUCACAUCCGCUGACAUACCUUCAUGAACUGAUCUCUUCCGACCUGCAUCAAAAGACCUUCUAGGGUCCCUUGAUGUACUUUCCCUGAUUGUCCUACAAGAUCUUGCCCUCUGCAGAGCAGGGGAAUGGGCAUCCAUGCCCUCAUUCUCUGGCGGAGCUCCAGUCAAUCUCGCAGAUCGACGAGUUCCUCUCA